UCAGUCGACUCCUACGGGAGGCAGCAGUGGGAAUAUUGGACAAUGGGGGGCAACCCUGAUCCAGCAAUGCCGCGUGUGUGAAGAAGGCCUGAGGGUUGUAAAGCACUUUCAGUGGGGAGGAGGAUAGCAUGGUUAAGAGCUGAGCUAUUGGACGUUACCUACAGAAGAAGCACCGGCUAACUCCGUGCCAGCAGCCGCGGUAAUACGGAGGGUGCGAGCGUUAAUCGGAAUUACUGGGCGUAAAGGGUGCGUAGGUGGUUAAAUAAGUUAGAUGUAAAACCCUAGGGCUUAACCUAGGACUGAGAUUUAAUACUGUUUAACUAGAGUAAGAGAGAGGAGUGGAAUUCUUGGAGUAGCGGUAGAAUGCGUAGAUCUCAAGAGGAACACCGAUGGCGAAGGCAGCUCCUUGGCUUACAACUGACGCUGAGACGCGAAAGCGUGGGGAGCAAACAGGAUUAGAUACCCUGGUAG
This 471-nucleotide ribosomal RNA is filed under the name uncultured bacterium. RNAcentral describes it as "bacterial SSU rRNA". It matches the Rfam family "Bacterial small subunit ribosomal RNA", at positions 328 to 793 of the family's 1533-position model. The record is from RNAcentral.